Molecule: ribosomal RNA, 443 nt
Filed under: uncultured bacterium
Lineage: Bacteria
Description: partial 16S ribosomal RNA
Rfam family: Bacterial small subunit ribosomal RNA
Source: RNAcentral
CCUACGGGAGGCAGCAGUGGGGAAUAUUGGGCAAUGGGCGCAAGCCUGACCCAGCAACGCCGCGUGCAGGAAGAAGGCUUUCGGGUUGUAAACUUCUUUUCUGAGGGACGAAGAAAGUGACGGUACCUCAGGAAUAAGCCACGGCUAACUACGUGCCACCAGCCGCGGUAAUACGGAGGCGGCAAGCGUUAUCCGGAUUUAUGGGGUGUAAAGGGCGUGUAGGCGGGAAGGCAAGUCAGAUGUGAAAAAUCAGGGCUCAACCCCGGGCCUGCAUUUGAAACGGUUUUUCUUGAGUGCUGGAGAGGCAAUCGGAAUUCCGGGUGUAGCGGUGAAAUGCGUAGAGAUACGGAGGAACACCAGUGGCGAAGGCGGAUUGCUGGACAGUAACUGACGCUGAGGCGCGAAAGCGUGGGGAGCAAACAGGAUUAGAUACCCCAGUAGUC